GAUGAACGCUGGCGGCGUGCCUAAUACAUGCAAGUCGAGCGAACGGACGAGAAGCUUGCUUCUCUGAUGUUAGUGGCGGACGGGUGAGUAACACGUGGAUAACCUACCUAUAAGACUGGGAUAACUUCGGGAAACCGUAGCUAAUACCGGAUAAUAUUUUGAACCGCAUGGUUCAAAAGUGAAAGACGGUCUUGCUGUCACUUAUAGAUGGAUCCGCGCUGCAUUAGCUAGUUGGUAAGGUAACGGCUUACCAAGGCAACGAUGCAUAGCCGACCUGAGAGGGUGAUCGGCCACACUGGAACUGAGACACGGUCCAGACUCCUACGGGAGGCAGCAGUAGGGAAUCUUCCGCAAUGGGCGAAAGCCUGACGGAGCAACGCCGCGUGAGUGAUGAAGGUCUUCGGAUCGUAAAACUCUGUUAUUAGGGAAGAACAUAUGUGUAAGUAACUGUGCACAUCUUGACGGUACCUAAUCAGAAAGCCACGGCUAACUACGUG
RNAcentral lists this ribosomal RNA (497 nucleotides) under uncultured bacterium. RNAcentral's name for it is "partial 16S ribosomal RNA". It matches the Rfam family "Bacterial small subunit ribosomal RNA", at positions 28 to 507 of the family's 1533-position model. The record is from RNAcentral.